ACGUGYGUCGCCUUCGUCGUUUUCGGAAAUCGACCGACUUCCGGAACAACGUUUGCUUGCUACUCUGAGAACGUCACAAACCACGAAGGGAGGUGGACGUCGUCGCGUCCUUAAAUGGGUGGAUGGGCACGUCGAACUGGGAGCGCGGCGGCAGUCGCCGCCGUCGCUUCAUUUCGCCAUUGCCCGGCCUCUCGAGCUUUCUGCUCGAUCUCGACCGCACACGCGGCGUAUAGACACGUUUGACUUAUGCCCCGUGCGUACGGACGGACGCCUAAUACUUGCCUAGUUACGACGGCCGUUCGUUCGUUCGGGAAAGCGAUCGUCGAUGAUGAUAUGUGUA
This 340-nucleotide unclassified non-coding RNA is filed under the name Clavularia viridis. RNAcentral's name for it is "ITS1". Lineage: Eukaryota; Metazoa; Cnidaria; Anthozoa; Malacalcyonacea; Clavulariidae. The record is from RNAcentral.